This is a non-coding RNA of Schistosoma curassoni, 39 nucleotides long. The record is from Rfam. Lineage: Eukaryota; Metazoa; Platyhelminthes; Trematoda; Strigeidida; Schistosomatidae.
CUGACGAGUCCCAAACAGGACGAAACGCGCGUCCUGGAU